UUACAGAGUGAGAGAGAGAGAGAGAGAGAGAGAGAGAGAGAUGUGGUUAUGGUUUUGGGAGCUCAAGCCCAAGUGGGAGAUAACCGACCCAGAAUGAAAAUAAAAAGUGAAAUACAGAACGGAAAUUGAAACGAGAACAGAGUGUUCUUUCCAAGAAUCGGAAAAAAAAAACAAGGGAAAAGUGAAAUGAUUGUAUGGAAUUCAAUUUACAAAGAAGAAGAAUUGAAAUAGUAGUAGUCUCACAUGAAAACCAUAUCUUCAUUCUCACUAGUCUUUGGUAGCAGUGGAUUUGGGUCUUUUCAUUGCUAUGGUUAUAGUUUUAGUUGUUGCAGUUGCUCCUCUUCUUCCAAGAUUGUGGCCAAGAGUAGCAAAAAGCCCUCUCCAUCUUCCCCUCAGCAAGCUGAAAAGUAGGUACUGCUUUGACAUCAAUUUUCGACAAGCACAAAAAUCAACACACACCUCUUUCAUAAAGAUUUCAUUUAUGAGCACAAAGGACAAGGGGUGGAACCCAAACCAUGUAAAGCAGGGAGGUUCUGAGCCAGCUCCGCCAAGGAUUACAUCCAAUGUCAAGCAAAAUUUGCAGUUUUUAAAGUUAUGGAAGGAGUUUCAAAAGAGAAAGGCUGGCACACCUAAGCCUGCUACUAGUUACCGCAGAAAGAAGGAGGAGAAGGAAGACAUCCCAGAGGACUCACAGCUCUAUCGUGAUCCUACUCUGGCACUUUACAACACAAACCAAAGUAUAGACACUGCAGUUCCUGUCUUGCUUGUCGAUGGUUAUAAUGUAUGUGGCUAUUGGAUCAAGCUGAAGAAACAUUUUAUGAAUGGAAGACUUGAUGUUGCUCGCCAAAAGCUUAUUGAGGAACUGGAGACAUUCAGUCUGCUAAGAGAAGUGAAAGUGGUUGUUGUCUUUGAUGCCAUGAUGUCUGGACUCCCCACACACAAGGAAGAUUUUGCUGGUAUUGAUAUAGUAUUCUCAAGUGAGACAUGUGCUGAUGCAUGGAUUGAAAAAGAGGUUGUGGCCUUGAAGGAGGAUGGAUGCCCAAAAGUUUGGGUUGUGACAUCUGAUCAUUGUCAGCAGCAGGCAGCACAUGGAGCAUUAAGUCUUUUGCAUUGAUUAUGGGGGAUUAGCCAUUCGUGUUUGGUGGAUUUAUUGGUCUUAUAUGUGUUACUUAGAAAAUUCAUGGGAAAUUUCUGGUACGCAAAUCACAUAAUAAGGUUAGUUUAUAGAAUUUUUCGCAGUUACCCCAAAAGUUUAAUUUGUUAGAGAUAGUGUAACUUCUGUACUUUUAUACUCAAUUUGUGCCCUCAUAUGUGACCAGACUUCCCAUGAGUGGCUGGUGGCAGGACUUCCCCGACCAGAGUGGGCCAAACACAUGCAAGUAUUAUAAUUAUUAGGUAGGUGGUGAGAUUCCAAAAGCUUGAGUUGUUAGAAAUGGUCCAACAAUUUAUAUCAACCUCGUACAUCCUCCCUCACUGGCGAUUCCAACUCCUUUGCACACAUGGAGAGACAAACUAACUUGAAGUCACAAACUAAACUAAAUAGUGUGCAAACCUCAUGGAACAAAAUGCACAACAAAAAACAAAAUGGGGAACAACUAGAUACAAUGGGACGUGCACUUAAAGAAUUUCUGGGACCAAGGCUCUGAUAGCAUGUUAUAUCAUUAAUUACACCUUAAGAAGUUAGAGAAUAAAUGGUGUGAAAGAUUUCAAGUUGCCUAUAUUUCUAAACAAAACAAACCUUUACGAGUCAGUUGAGGACCAAGGGUUGUUAGAUGGUCCUUGCGAAGGUGUUGAUGACUAAUGAUUUGGUAAUUGCUUUUGACUUGAAGCUUUUGCUUCUUCACUGUUUAUUUUUUAAAGUAGGGUUGGAGUUGCAUUUGGAGAAUGUUUGGGCCCCUUUUGUAUGUUUUUCUUCUAACUGUGCUUUGGAGGACUCUAGCUUUUGCUGCAGGUUUAUCUGGCUGUUAUACCCAGUUUGCUUUAAUAGUUUGGACUAGGGCUUUAAACAAUGUGGAGGCCUGGUUGGCUAAAGCGGGUGCCUAAGUGACUUGUCAUGCAUGGUUCAGGCAGUGGCAGUCUUAUCUAUGCCUUCAACAGCUGAAAAGUAGUCAUAGAUAUCUCUGUAUAAAUCUUUUGCCAAGUGGCUUGCUUCAUCUUGGUUGAGUCAUUCCAUUAAAGGCCUGAUGCUGAUGGGUCUGUUUUUAACUGUUAUGAUGUAU
Camellia sinensis is the source of this 2219-nucleotide RNA transcript. It is a transcript of the gene named yacP-like NYN domain protein, with no coding region annotated. The record is from RefSeq and is a predicted model, not a curated record. NCBI's taxonomy places the organism in Eukaryota, Viridiplantae, Streptophyta, Magnoliopsida, Ericales, Theaceae.